Molecule: long non-coding RNA, 298 nt
Filed under: Solanum lycopersicum (tomato)
Lineage: Eukaryota; Viridiplantae; Streptophyta; Magnoliopsida; Solanales; Solanaceae
Description: partial TCONS_00008869
Source: RNAcentral
ACGUUGGGAACGACGGAGCGCAACGCGUAGAACCGGUGGUUCAGCUUCUCCCUCCUCUGUCUCUCCGCUUCCACGUGGUUCAAUGCCGCCAUAUGAGCAUCCUCCUCGCCGCCUUUAGGCUUUCUCCCUCUUUUUUUGGCUACAACAGGGGGGACAACAGAGGAACAGAGACUUCACCUGUUGAACUAAGCUCAAAUUCUGUUUGAUUAAUUGAGUGGAGCCUAAUUCAAACACGCCAUUUGAAGUUGGAAUACUAACCAGAGUCUGAAUCCCAUGGAUCUGAGCUUCUUUAGCCCUU